Molecule: RNA transcript, 2552 nt
Organism: Mirounga angustirostris (Northern elephant seal)
Lineage: Eukaryota; Metazoa; Chordata; Mammalia; Carnivora; Phocidae
Gene: VPS33B
Gene name: VPS33B late endosome and lysosome associated
Exons: 23
Source: RefSeq, a predicted model, not a curated record
CUCUCUCUGGCAGGGGGCGGGGUUUUCCCCGCACGCCGCGAAAUCUGUGGGUGUAGACCGGGAUCCUGGUUACAGGCGGAGUGGACCGGGGAGGGGCGGGUCGGUCCCGCGGCUGCUGAUCGGGACGAGGGUCCUCCGAGGCUGCGGCUGUCUGACCGAGAGGUGGCCAUUCAUUCGCGCGCCGGAGCGAGGGCCCCUUCGGGGGCUCUUUCGAACCGUGCCCAGGCCUGAAGGAGCGCGGUCCUGCGCUUACCCCGGGCUGCUGCCGACCUUCUCUGAGCGGAGGACGUCGCCCUUCUUCCACCCCGCUGCUCCGGUGCCCGCUGCCAUGGCUUUUCCCCAUCGGCCGGACGCCCCAGAGCUGCCUGACUUCUCCAUGCUCAAGAGGCUGGCCCGAGACCAGCUCAUCUAUCUGCUGGAGCAGCUUCCAGGAAAAAAGGACUUGUUCAUUGAGGCAGAUCUCAUGAGCCCUUUGGAUCGGAUUGCCAAUGUCUCCAUCCUGAAGCAACAUGAAGUCGACAAACUGUACAAAGUGGAGAACAAGCCAGCCCUCAGCUCCAAUGAACAAUUGUGCUUCUUGGUCCGACCCCGCAUCAAGAACAUGCGAUACGUUGCCAGUCUUGUCAAUGCUGACAAAUUGGCGGGCCGAACUCGAAAAUACAAAGUGAUCUUCAGCCCUCAGAAGUUUCAUGCGUGUGAGAUGGUGCUGGAGGAAGAGGGAGUCUAUGGAGAUGUGAGCUGUGACGAAUGGGCCUUUUCUUUGCUGCCUCUUGAUGUGGAUCUGUUGAGCAUGGAGCUCCCAGAAUUUUUCAGGGACUACUUCCUGGAAGGAGAUCAGCGCUGGAUCAACACUGCGGUACAGGCCUUGCACCUUCUGAGCACUCUCUACGGGCCCUUUCCUAACUGCUAUGGAAUUGGCAGAUGCACCAAGAUGUCAUAUGAAUUGUGGAGAAAAUUGGAGGAGGAGGAAGAUGGCGAAACCAAGGGCCGAAGGCCGGAGAUUGGCCAUAUCUUCCUCCUGGACAGAGACGUGGACUUCGUGACGGCCCUUUGCUCCCAGGUGGUUUACGAGGGUCUGGUGGACGACACCUUCCGCAUCAAGUGUGGGAGUGUCGACUUUGGCCCAGAAGUCACAUCCUCUGACAGGAGCUUAAAGGUUCUACUCAAUGCUGAGGACAAGGUGUUUAAUGAGAUUCGUAAUGAGCACUUCUCCAACGUCUUCGGCUUUUUGAGCCAGAAGGCCCGGAACUUGCAAGCUCAGUAUGACCGCCGGAGAGGCAUGGACAUCAAGCAGAUGAAGAACUUCGUGUCCCAGGAGCUCAAAGGACUGAAACAGGAGCACCGCCUGCUGAGUGUCCAUAUCGGGGCCUGUGAAUCCAUCAUGAAGAAGAAGACCAAGCAGGACUUCCAGGAGCUCAUCAAGACUGAGCAUGCACUGCUGGAGGGCUUCAACAUCCGGGAGAGCACCAGCUACAUCGAAGAACACAUAGACCGGCAGGACUCUCUUCCCAUGCAGGUGUCGCCUAUAGAAAGCCUCCGCCUCAUGUGCCUUUUGUCCCUCACUGAGAAUGGUUUGAUUCCCAAGGAUUACCGAUCUCUGAAAACACAGUAUCUGCAGAGCUACGGCCCUGAGCACUUGCUGACCUUCUCCAAUCUGCGGCGAGCGGGGCUCCUCACGGAGCAGGCCCCGGGGGACACCCUCACAGCUGUGGAGAGUAAAGUGAGCAAGCUGGUGACAGACAAGGCCGCAGGAAAGAUUACUGAUGCCUUCAGUUCUCUGGCCAAGAGGAGCAAUUUCCGUGCCAUCAGCAAGAAGCUGAAUUUGAUCCCACGUGUGGAUGGCGAGUAUGAUCUGAAAGUGCCACGGGACAUGGCGUAUGUCUUCAGUGGCGCUUACGUGCCCCUGAGCUGCCGACUCAUCGAGCAGCCGGAUAGGGUCUCAGACUUGAACCCCGGGCCUCCCAGGUGCUGGAACGACGAAGCUGGCAGGGUCUGGACGAAGUGGUGCGGCUACUCAACUGCAGUGAGUUGGCCUUCACAGACAUGACCAAGGAGGACAAGGCUUCCAGCGAGUCGUUGCGCCUCAUCCUGGUGGUGUUCUUGGGUGGUUGCACGUUCUCGGAGAUCUCAGCCCUCCGGUUCCUGGGCAGAGAGAAAGGGUACAGGUUCAUUUUUCUAACAACGGCGGUCACGAACAGCGCUCGCCUUAUGGAAGCCAUGAGUGAGGUAAAAGCCUGACGUUCUCUCUGCUGGUGUUGACGUCUUCCCUGAACACGUUUCCCUACGGGAUGCCCGAAUUUGGUCCCAGCUGCUAACCAAGUGUCUACCAACUACCCUACUAAGAGCCGGGGAGCUCAGAACUGACUCGGGAUUUAGAGAAAUUAUCUGAGGAGAGCGCUCACUUCCGGCCCCCAGGAUAUGUCUCCGUUUUGUGUAUGAAGUACAGCUUGUGCUGAAAAGAUACGAGGAGGAAGAGAUCUCGUUUACUAAGUCCUGAUUGAGUAUCAUUGUAAAUAAAGCCUCUACUCUCCAAUGUCAUGUUUAGUUCUCAA